This 465-nucleotide ribosomal RNA is filed under the name uncultured Klebsiella sp. RNAcentral's name for it is "bacterial SSU rRNA". It matches the Rfam family "Bacterial small subunit ribosomal RNA", at positions 338 to 795 of the family's 1533-position model. The record is from RNAcentral. Lineage: Bacteria; Pseudomonadati; Pseudomonadota; Gammaproteobacteria; Enterobacterales; Enterobacteriaceae.
CCUACGGGUGGCAGCAGUGGGGAAUAUUGCACAAUGGGCGCAAGCCUGAUGCAGCCAUGCCGCGUGUGUGAAGAAGGCCUUCGGGUUGUAAAGCACUUUCAGCGGGGAGGAAGGCGUUAAGGUUAAUAACCUUGGCGAUUGACGUUACCCGCAGAAGAAGCACCGGCUAACUCCGUGCCAGCAGCCGCGAUAAUACGGAGGGUGCAAGCGUUAAUCGGAAUUACUGGGCGUAAAGCGCACGCAGGCGGUCUGUCAAGUCGGAUGUGAAAUCCCCGGGCUCAACCUGGGAACUGCAUUCGAAACUGGCAGGCUAGAGUCUUGUAGAGGGGGGUAGAAUUCCAGGUGUAGCGGUGAAAUGCGUAGAGAUCUGGAGGAAUACCGGUGGCGAAGGCGGCCCCCUGGACAAAGACUGACGCUCAGGUGCGAAAGCGUGGGGAGCAAACAGGAUUAGAUACCCGAGUAGUC